RNAcentral lists this ribosomal RNA (484 nucleotides) under uncultured bacterium. RNAcentral describes it as "SSU rRNA". It matches the Rfam family "Bacterial small subunit ribosomal RNA", at positions 26 to 523 of the family's 1533-position model. The record is from RNAcentral.
AGGACGAACGCUGGCGGCGUGCUUAACACAUGCAAGUCGAGCGAGGCUCCACCUUCGGGUGGAUGCCCUAGCGGCGAACGGGUGAGUAACACGUGGGCAACCUGCCCCUAGCACUGGGAUAACUCCGGGAAACCGGGGCUAAUACCGGAUAUGACCUUUGAGGGCAUCCUCUUUGGUGUAAAGGAUUCUGGCUAGGGAUGGGCCCGCGGCCUAUCAGCUUGUUGGUGGGGUAAUGGCCUACCAAGGCGACGACGGGUAGCCGGCCUGAGAGGGCGACCGGCCACACUGGGACUGAGACACGGCCCAGACUCCUACGGGAGGCAGCAGUGGGGAAUAUUGCACAAUGGGCGAAAGCCUGAUGCAGCGACGCCGCGUGAGGGAUGACGGCCUUCGGGUUGUAAACCGUCUUUCAGCAGGGACGAAGCGAAAGUGACGGUACCUGCAGAAGAAGCACCGGCCAACUACGUGCCAGCAGCCGCGGUAA